This 181-nucleotide ribosomal RNA is filed under the name uncultured Cortinarius. Its description in RNAcentral is "partial 28S ribosomal RNA". It matches the Rfam family "Eukaryotic large subunit ribosomal RNA", at positions 1 to 177 of the family's 3401-position model. Lineage: Eukaryota; Fungi; Basidiomycota; Agaricomycetes; Agaricales; Cortinariaceae. The record is from RNAcentral.
GUGACCUCAAAUCAGGUAGGACUACCCGCUGAACUUAAGCAUAUCAAUAAGCGGAGGAAAAGAAACUAACAAGGAUUCCCCUAGUAACUGCGAGUGAAGCGGGAAAAGCUCAAAUUUAAAAUCUGGCGGUCUUUUGGCUGUCCGAGUUGUAAUCUAGAGAAGUGUUAUCCGCGCUGGACGG